This 468-nucleotide ribosomal RNA is filed under the name uncultured bacterium. Its description in RNAcentral is "partial 16S ribosomal RNA". It matches the Rfam family "Bacterial small subunit ribosomal RNA", at positions 28 to 507 of the family's 1533-position model. The record is from RNAcentral.
GAUGAACGCUGGCGGCGUGCUUAACACAUGCAAGUCGAACGGAAAGGCUCCUGCUUGCAGGGGUACUCGAGUGGCGAACGGGUGAGUAACACGUGGGUGAUCUGCCCUGUACUUCGGGAUAAGCUUGGGAAACUGGGUCUAAUACCGGAUAGGACAACUUUUUGGAUAUUGUUGUGGAAAGCUUUUGCGGUAUGGGAUGAGCUCGCGGCCUAUCAGCUUGUUGGUGGGGUAAUGGCCUACCAAGGCCUCGACGGGUAGCCGGCCUGAGAGGGUGUACGGCCACAUUGGAACUGAGAUACGACCCAGACUCCUACGGGUGGCAGCAGUGGGGAAUAUUGCACAAUGGGCGCAAGCCUGAUGCAGCGACGCCGCGUGAGGGAUGAAGGCCUUCGGGUUGUAAACUCCUUUCGCUAGGGACGAAGCUUUUUUGUGACGGUACCUGGAGAAGAAGCACCGGCUAACUACGUG